RNAcentral lists this ribosomal RNA (468 nucleotides) under uncultured bacterium. Its description in RNAcentral is "partial 16S ribosomal RNA". It matches the Rfam family "Bacterial small subunit ribosomal RNA", at positions 28 to 507 of the family's 1533-position model. The record is from RNAcentral.
GACGAACGCUGGCGGCGUGCUUAACACAUGCAAGUCGAACGGAAAGGCCCUGCUUUUGUGUGGUGCCCGAGUGGCGAACGGGUGAGUAACAAGUGCGUAACCUGCCCUUGCCUUUGGGAUAACCACAGGUUACUGGGGCUUAUAACGCCUACGAGCUCCUGCUUCUCGGUGUGGGUUGGAAAGUUACGGCGGCUGAGGAAGGUCUCGCGGCAUAUCAGCUUGUUGGUGAGGCAGUGUCUUACGAAGGCUUUGUCGGAUAGCCAGCCUGAGAGGGUGACCGGCCACAGUGGGACUGAGGUACGGCCCAGACUGCUACGGGAGGCAUGAGUGGAAAAUAGUGCACAAUAGGCGGAAGCAUGAAGCAGGGACGCCGGGUGCGAGAUGACGGCCUUUCGGUUGUAAACCGCUUUCGCCGGAGACGAAGAGUGAUUGACGGUAAUGGGUAAGAAAGCACCGGCUAACUACGUG